GAUGAACGCUAGCGAUAGGCCUAACACAUGCAAGUCGAGGGGCAGCACAUGAAGUAGCAAUACGGAUGGUGGCGACCGGCGCACGGGUGAGUAACGCGUAUGCAACCUGCCUACAACAGGGGAAUAACCCGUUGAAAGACGGACUAAUACCCCAUAACACAGGGAUCCCGCAUGGGAAUAUUUGUUAAAGAUUUAUCGGUUGUAGAUGGGCAUGCGUUCCAUUAGCUGGUUGGUGAGGUAACGGCUCACCAAGGCAACGAUGGAUAGGGGAACUGAGAGGUUUAUCCCCCACACUGGUACUGAGACACGGACCAGACUCCUACGGGAGGCAGCAGUGAGGAAUAUUGGUCAAUGGACGCAAGUCUGGACCAGCCACGUCGCGUGAAGGAAGACGGCCCUACGGGUUGUAAACUUCUUUUGUAAGGGAAUAAAGUGCAGUACGUGUACUGUUUUGCAUGUACCUUACGAAUAAGGAUCGGCUAACUCCGUGCCAGCAGCCGCGGUGAUACGGAGGAUCCGAGCGUUAUCCGGAUUUAUUGGGUUUAAAGGGUGCGCAGGCGGGAGAUUAAGUCGGCGGUGAAAUUUUGCAGCUCAACUGUAAAAGUGCCUUCGAAACUGGUUUUCUUGAGUGUGGAUGAAGUAGGCGGAAUUUGUGGUGUAGCGGUGAAAUGCAUAGAUAUCACGAGGAACUCCGAUUGCGCAGGCAGCUCACUAAACCACAACUGACGCUCAGGCACGAAGGCGUGGGGAUCAAACA
Molecule: ribosomal RNA, 757 nt
Filed under: Porphyromonadaceae bacterium enrichment culture
Lineage: Bacteria; Pseudomonadati; Bacteroidota; Bacteroidia; Bacteroidales; Porphyromonadaceae
Description: bacterial SSU rRNA
Rfam family: Bacterial small subunit ribosomal RNA
Source: RNAcentral